This 241-nucleotide ribosomal RNA is filed under the name Pseudomonas fluorescens. Its description in RNAcentral is "partial 23S ribosomal RNA". It matches the Rfam family "Bacterial large subunit ribosomal RNA", at positions 1 to 235 of the family's 2925-position model. The record is from RNAcentral. Lineage: Bacteria; Pseudomonadati; Pseudomonadota; Gammaproteobacteria; Pseudomonadales; Pseudomonadaceae.
GUUAUAUGGUCAAGUGAAGAAGCGCAUACGGUGGAUGCCUUGGCAGUCAGAGGCGAUGAAAGACGUGGUAGCCUGCGAAAAGCUUCGGGGAGUCGGCAAACAGACUUUGAUCCGGAGAUGUCUGAAUGGGGGAACCCAGCCAUCAUAAGAUGGUUAUCUUGUACUGAAUACAUAGGUGCAAGAGGCGAACCAGGGGAACUGAAACAUCUAAGUACCCUGAGGAAAAGAAAUCAACCGAGAU